RNAcentral lists this non-coding RNA (30 nucleotides) under Rattus norvegicus (Norway rat). The record is from RNAcentral. Lineage: Eukaryota; Metazoa; Chordata; Mammalia; Rodentia; Muridae.
UUAAUUCUCAUUAAUAGUUGCUAGAUAAAU